Molecule: ribosomal RNA, 462 nt
Filed under: uncultured bacterium
Lineage: Bacteria
Description: partial 16S ribosomal RNA
Rfam family: Bacterial small subunit ribosomal RNA
Source: RNAcentral
GACGAACGCUGGCGGCGUGCUUAACACAUGCAAGUCGAACGGAAAGGCCCUUCGGGGUACUCGAGUGGCGAACGGGUGAGUAACACGUUGGUGAUCUGCCCUGCACUUUGGGAUAAGCCUGGGAAACUGGGUCUAAUACCGAAUAGGACGACGCGCUUCAUGGUGUGUGGGGGCAAGCUUUUGCGGUGUGGGUUGGGCCCGAUGCCUAUCAGCUUGUUGGUGGGGUAAUGGCCUACCAAGGCGACGACGGGUAGCCGGCCUGAGAGUGUGACCGGCCACAAUGGGACUGAGAUACGGCCCAGACUCCUACGGGAGGCAGCAGUGGGGAAUAUUGCACAAUGGGCGCAAGCCUGAUGCAGCGACGCCGCGUGAGGGAUGACGGCCUUCGGGUUGUAAACCUCUUUCACCAGGGACGAAGCGUAAGUGACGGUACCUGGAGAAGAAGCACCGGCCAACUACGUG